RNAcentral lists this ribosomal RNA (253 nucleotides) under uncultured bacterium. Its description in RNAcentral is "partial 16S ribosomal RNA". It matches the Rfam family "Bacterial small subunit ribosomal RNA", at positions 524 to 776 of the family's 1533-position model. The record is from RNAcentral.
AACGUAGGGGGCUAGCGUUAUCCGGAAUUACUGGGCGUAAAGCGUACGUAGGCGGCUUUGUAAGUUAGAGGUGAAAGCCCGGGGCUCAACUCCGGAAUUGCCUUUAAGACUGCAUCGCUUGAAUCAUGGAGAGGUGAGUGGAAUUCCGAGUGUAGAGGUGAAAUUCGUAGAUAUUCGGAAGAACACCAGUGGCGAAGGCGACUCACUGGACAUGUAUUGACGCUGAGGUACGAAAGCGUGGGGAGCAAACAGG